UUAGAGUUUGAUCCUGGCUCAGGAUGAACGCUAGCGGCAGGCUUAACACAUGCAAGUCGAGGGGCAGCAUGCGGGUUAGCAAUAACCUGUGAUGGCGACCGGCGCAAGGGUGCGUAACGCGUGAGCAACUUGCCCUCAUCAGGGGGAUAACCACUGGAAACGGUGACUAAUACCCCAUGGCAUGCAAUCCGGGCAUCCGGUUUGCAUUAAAGAGUUUCGGAUGAGGAUAGGCUCGCGUGACAUUAGAUAGAUGGCGGGGUAACGGCCCACCAUGUCGACGAUGUCUAGGGGUUCUGAGAGGAAGGUCCCCCACACUGGAACUGAGACACGGUCCAGACUCCUACGGGAGGCAGCAGUGAGGAAUAUUGGUCAAUGGUCGCAAGACUGAACCAGCCAUGCCGCGUGAAGGAGACGGCCCUAUGGGUCUUAAACUUCUUUUGUAAGGGAGCAAUAAGUUCCACGUGUGGGACGAUGAGAGUACCUUACGAAUAAGCAUCGGCUAACUCCGUGCCAGCAGCCGCGGUAAUACGGGGGAUGCAAGCGUUAUCCGGAUUUAUUGGGUUUAAAGGGUGCGUAGGCGGCUUGUUAAGUCAGCGGUGAAAUUUAGGGGCUCAACCUCUACCGUGCCGUUGAUACUGGCGAGCUAGAAUGCGGAUGCCGUGGGAGGAAUGUGUGGUGUAGCGGUGAAAUGCAUAGAUAUCACACAGAACACCGAUUGCGAAGGCAUCUCACGAAUCCGCAAUUGACGCUGAUGCACGAAAGCGUGGGGAUCAAACAGGAUUAGAUACCCUGGUAGUCCACGCUGUAAACGAUGAUGACUAACCGUCGGCGAUACACAGUCGGUGGCCAAGCGAAAGCGAUAAGUCAUCCACCUGGGGAGUACGACCGCAAGGUUGAAACUCAAAGGAAUUGACGGGGGCCCGCACAAGCGGAGGAACAUGUGGUUUAAUUCGACGCAACGCGAAGAACCUUACCAGGGCUUGACAUCCCACUAACGAAGUAGAGAUACAUUAGGUGCCCUUCGGGGAAAGUGGAGACAGGUGGUGCAUGGUUGUCGUCAGCUCGUGUCGUGAGAUGUUGGGUUAAGUCCCGCAACGAGCGCAACCCCUAUUGUUAGUUGCUACGCAAGAGCACUCUAGCGAGACUGCCGUUGACAAAACGGAGGAAGGCGGGGACGACGUCAAAUCAUCAUGCCCCUUAUGCCCUGGGCUACACACGUAAUACAAUGGCGGCCAACAAAGCGAAGCAAGACCGCGAGGUGGAGCAAAUCGCAAAAAGCCGUCCCAGUUCGGAUUGCAGGCUGCAACUCGCCUGCAUGAAGUUGGAAUUGCUAGUAAUCGUGGAUCAGCAUGCCACGGUGAAUACGUUCCCGGGCCUUGCACACACCACCCGUCAAG
RNAcentral lists this ribosomal RNA (1397 nucleotides) under uncultured bacterium. RNAcentral describes it as "partial 16S ribosomal RNA". It matches the Rfam family "Bacterial small subunit ribosomal RNA". The record is from RNAcentral.